AAACUUUCAACAACGGAUCUCUUGGUUCUGGCAUCGAUGAAGAACGCAGCGAAAUGCGAUAAGUAGUGUGAAUUGCAGAAUUCAGUGAAUCAUCGAAUCUUUGAACGCACAUUGCGCCCCUUGGUAUCCGAGGGGCAUGCUGUUC
This 145-nucleotide ribosomal RNA is filed under the name uncultured Cenococcum. RNAcentral's name for it is "partial 5.8S ribosomal RNA". It matches the Rfam family "5.8S ribosomal RNA". From Rfam's summary of the family: 5.8S ribosomal RNA (5.8S rRNA) is a component of the large subunit of the eukaryotic ribosome. The record is from RNAcentral. Lineage: Eukaryota; Fungi; Ascomycota; Dothideomycetes; Gloniales; Gloniaceae.